AAUGAACGUUGGCGGCAUGGAUUAGGCAUACAAGUCGCGCGAUAAGAUUCCUUCGGGAAUCCGAAAGCGGCGAAAGGGAGAGUAACGCGUAGAUGAUCUACCCCGAGGACUGGGAUAGCGGCGGGAAACUGCCGGUAAUACCAGAUGAUGUCUCCGGACCAAAGGUGUGAUUCCGCCUUGGGAUGAAUCUGCGUCCUAUUAGCUAGUUGGUGAGGUAACGGCUCACCAAGGCGAAGAUGGGUACCGGGUGUGAGAGCAUGACCCGGCUCACUGGGACUGAGACACUGCCCAGACACCUACGGGUGGCUGCAGUCGAGAAUCUUCGGCAAUGGGCGAAAGCCUGACCGAGCAAUGCCGCGUGCGGGAUGAAGGCCU
This 375-nucleotide ribosomal RNA is filed under the name uncultured bacterium. RNAcentral's name for it is "bacterial SSU rRNA". It matches the Rfam family "Bacterial small subunit ribosomal RNA", at positions 29 to 417 of the family's 1533-position model. The record is from RNAcentral.